This 30-nucleotide non-coding RNA is filed under the name Mus musculus (house mouse). Lineage: Eukaryota; Metazoa; Chordata; Mammalia; Rodentia; Muridae. The record is from RNAcentral.
UUCUGUUGUCUUCAUCAAAUUGUUUGGCCA